CAUGCAAGUCGAACGAAACUUAGUGAACCUCGGUUUGCUAAGUUUAGUGGCGCACGGGUGCGUAACGCGUGGGAAUCUACCCCUAGCUGCGGAAUAACUCAGAGAAAUUUGAGCUAAUACCGCAUAAUGUCGCAAGACCAAAGAUUUAUCGGCAAGGGAUGAGCCCGCGUAAGAUUAGCUUGUUGGUGAGGUAAAAGCUCACCAAGGCGACGAUCUUUAGCUGGUCUGAGAGGAUGAUCAGCCACACUGGGACUGAGACACGGCCCAGACUCCUACGGGAGGCAGCAGUGGGGAAUAUUGGACAAUGGGCGCAAGCCUGAUCCAGCAAUGCCGCGUGAGUGAUGAAGGCCCUAGGGUUGUAAAGCUCUUUUACUAGGGAUGAUAAUGACAGUACCUAGAGAAUAAGCUCCGGCUAACUCCGUGCCAGCAGCCGCGGUAAUACGGAAGGUGCGAGCGUUAAUCGGAAUUACUGGGCGUAAAGCGUACGUAGGCGGUUUGAUAUGUCGGAUGUGAAAUCCUCGGGCUUAACCUGAGAACUGCAUUCGAAACUGUCAAACUAGAGUAAGUCAGAGGAAAGUGGAAUUUCGGGUGUAGCGGUGG
This 600-nucleotide ribosomal RNA is filed under the name uncultured Alphaproteobacteria bacterium. RNAcentral describes it as "bacterial SSU rRNA". It matches the Rfam family "Bacterial small subunit ribosomal RNA", at positions 54 to 684 of the family's 1533-position model. Lineage: Bacteria; Pseudomonadati; Pseudomonadota; Alphaproteobacteria. The record is from RNAcentral.